This 1142-nucleotide unclassified non-coding RNA is filed under the name Hevea brasiliensis (rubber tree). Lineage: Eukaryota; Viridiplantae; Streptophyta; Magnoliopsida; Malpighiales; Euphorbiaceae. The record is from RNAcentral.
GGGAGCAGUUUUCAUCUGCAAUGAAGACACUACAGGGAAGGUUUUGUUGCUAACAUGUACAAAUGUAAAGAGUGUAUAUUCUCUUAGAAAAAAGAACCUAUAACUUAGGAAAGUUUAUCACACUACUCCUAAUACGUCACGUUUUAGCUAAUCUCGAAGGUGGUCAUAGUCCCCAUUUUCUGGAGACUGGUGCAAGCCCUGACCGGUGGUAACUCUCCAAUCAGUUGAAUGUAAUGGUGUUGGUUGCAUACCGCGAGAAGGCAUCAUAAACUGACCUCCACCCAUACUUUGGUUAGAAGAAUCAACCAUUGAACGAAAUGAUAAUGGUGAUCCACCAAAUUGGGCGGAAGUAUCAUGCUUUAGUCCCCCAGUUUUUGAGUCAACUGAAAAUGAGCCAACAAUCACCUGAAUUGGGCCUCCAGCAAUCAAGGGACCACCAACUCCACCUCCAAUAAUUUGACCGUCAUUACUUGCCAGACACACACUCAGCCCACCGGUUCUGCCUCCAGUCUCGGUGCGUACAUAAGAUCCAGCUAGAGUGAGAAUGUCAAAUCGACCCUCAUAUGUAAUACUUCCUCCAGAUGUUGCUGGUUGACGCAAAGAGGCAUUGGAGACUGAGCCAGAUGCUGACAAUAUGCAUAGUUCAUGUUUGCUUUGUUGCAUGAACAUCAUGAUUUUCUGACCGACAUCCUCUCCAGCAGACACGGUGAUGAUAUGAGGUGUAAAACCUUGACCAGCAUUGCCCAACGCAGCUAAUUGAGAUUUCUUCGAAGAACCACCACCACCACCGUCUGCUCCAGCAACAUGGCUCAAACCAUGAUCCCUCUUUUUAGGAGGAGCUGACGCCGACGACAGCCUUUUAGCAGCAGCAGCUUGCUCCGGCGUGCUAUACUUUCUAGGUCUCCCCCGCUUUCUCUUCACACUCUCCAUAGUCGGCGACACAGCUGACGGAAGCGAACCAGUGUACACCAUAUGAGAAGCGGCGCCGACUGUGGUGUUAGCGUUAGCGUUAGCGGUUGGAUUGUUAAUUGAUACAAUUCCAUUGGUAGUGGUGGUGGUGGUUGUAGGGUUAGGGUUUUGCGGUGGUUGUGACGGCGGCGGUUGGUGGUGGAUGUGGUGGUGGAAGUAAGAAUUCAGUCCAC